UGGGGCGUAGCCAAGUGGUAAGGCAGCGGGUUUUGGUCCCGUGUACCGGAGGUUCGAAUCCUCCCGCCCCAGCCA
Molecule: transfer RNA, 75 nt
Filed under: Thermoleophilia bacterium
Lineage: Bacteria; Bacillati; Actinomycetota; Thermoleophilia
Description: tRNA-Gln
Rfam family: tRNA
About the family: Transfer RNA (tRNA) molecules are approximately 80 nucleotides in length. Their secondary structure includes four short double-helical elements and three loops (D, anti-codon, and T loops). Further hydrogen bonds mediate the characteristic L-shaped molecular structure. tRNAs have two regions of fundamental functional importance: the anti-codon, which is responsible for specific mRNA codon recognition, and the 3' end, to which the tRNAs corresponding amino acid is attached (by aminoacyl-tRNA synthetases). tRNAs cope with the degeneracy of the genetic code in two manners: having more than one tRNA (with a specific anti-codon) for a particular amino acid; and 'wobble' base-pairing, i.e. permitting non-standard base-pairing at the 3rd anti-codon position.
Source: RNAcentral